Long non-coding RNA from Oncorhynchus tshawytscha (Chinook salmon), 4266 nucleotides. NCBI's taxonomy places the organism in Eukaryota, Metazoa, Chordata, Actinopteri, Salmoniformes, Salmonidae. The record is from Ensembl.
GAUUUACAAUGUAAUCUGUUACUCCCCAACCCUGGGGGGCAACUGGCAAGGAACAACUCCCUGGAGGGAAGACACCUUAAUAAAACAAACUAGAAAAGACGAGACAAAUUGAACUUCAGAGUAUAUGACCCUCACUUGAGUAAGGAACCGAAGCCAAAUAACUAAUUUUAAAAAUAGUGGUAUAAUGUUAGCCUAUUUGGAGAAAGGUGUUGUGUCUGUGCAACGGAGCACGUUGUUGGAAAAGAAAACCGAGAUUAUUACGUAACUGUGUGUAAAAGUACUGUAAUGAAACAGGCAGGGGAGCGGGACUUGAACCCUCAACCUUCUAAACCCGAAGUCCAACGUGUUAUCGACCGUGCCCCCGAAAGUAUGCUCAAGUGGCAGAGUCGAUAUCCGCGUUUAUAAACCCAGGGUCGUUACACUGCUAAACUCUGCACAACAACUUUCACAAUGAAGUCAGACAUCGAGGCAUUAAUCCAGAAUGUCGGAAACCAGUUUAAUGCAGGAUGUUUUUUAAAUGCCGUUCUGAUUUAGGGUGCGUUCGUAAAUUCACUCUGGCUAUCUACUCCGUUUUCAGGGCGUGCGUCUUGAUUGUGGCAGAGCACAGAAACACUGGAUGAAUUUACGAACCAAUCAACACCCGUUAAAUAUGGCCGGUGUCAGUAAACAGACGGACGAAAAAAAAGAAGCGUAAUUUAAAUGGUUUUCCAGUAGCACAGUUACAGUCCAGCGACACUCUGGAUAACAUGAAAACAUCGUAACCAGCUCUGCUUGGUUGAGUAAAAAUGUGUCAGAUUGGAGGUGUUCUCUCAUUUGAAGUAGCUAUCAAAUUAACAUUAGUCAAGCACCGAAGUUAGGGUCAGAAAGCUGAAUUUUCGAACGCACCCUUGGUUGGAUUAUUCUACUCGACUAAAGUGAAUCAGAGAGAGAGAGAGAGAGAUGUCAAUCUCAACAAAUAUGAGCGCCCAAAGGUUUCAGUUCACAGUUAUAACGUUAUUAUAAUUUAUUAAUAAUUACAUAGCUAUUUAGUAGUAAAACACUUACCACUGCGGAGACAACUACCCGAUCUCAAGGAUAAAAUUCAAUUCGCAAAAAAAUCACUUCCGUUAUCGGUAUAAUCAGAUGUCUUCCUUGUUACUGAUGCGAUGUAAAUUGAUCACUGAAAUAUUGUUGCUUUGGGGGUGAGGAAGGGGUCGCUUGUCGAUAGUUGCUGUACUUAAACCCGUUAGUUACAAAUGAGAGCUCAGUAAUGUUGCAUUUUAUGCUGAGUUUCCACUAGAUGCCACAGUCACAAAGUCAAAAUUGGCUAUAUUGUAUAAAUUCAUACAAAAAUGAGAUGUUUGCUCUUAAUUUAGGGUUAGGUAUAAGGUUAGCAUUAUGGUUAAUGUUUAAAAUAACAUUUUAAUUAAGAGAAAUUGACGAAAUAGGCGGCAUUUUUUUUAUAACGUUGUGUCUGUGGUAACUAGUGGUGACCCUUGUACAAAUUGGGCGAAGUAAAGUCUUCCGGGGUUCUGCGUCGCGUACAGCCAACCAGCGAGUGAGACGUCAUUAAUGGUUAGAUCGGCAUUUGGGGCAGGGUUCAAAAAGAUUAACAAUACAGCGUUGUCAUGGUGAGCUCAGCUGGAAUGAAUUUGUUUCUGUCCCAGAUAGCCUCCUAUAUAGGGCUCUGGUCCAAACUAGUGCACUAUGUAGGAAUCAGGGUGCCAUUUGGGAUCAUCACAGUAUCACUGAAAUGUGCUUUUAAAUGUCUUUGCCAAAUAGGACAUGAAUGAUUAGGUUGGAUUUGAGAAGAGGACAGAGAGUUGUUAACCUUGUUCACACAAUACCUUUAUCUAUUGACACCCUGGGAGUCAGACAGACAGACAGGGAGUCAGACAGACACACAGGGAGUCAGGUAGACACAGACAGACUGGGAGUCAGACAGACACACAGGGAGUCAGACAGACACACAGGGAGUCAGGUAGACACAGACAGACUGGGAGUCAGACAGACACACAGACAGACUUGGAGUCAGACAGACAGACUGGGAGUCAGACAGACACACAGGGAGUCAGGUAGACACACAGACAGACUUGGAGUCAGACAGACAGACUGGGAGUCAGACAGACACACAGGGAGUCAGGUAGACACACAGACAGACUUGGAGUCAGACAGACAGACUGGGAGUCAGACAGACACACAGACAGACUUGGAGUCAGAAGGACAGACUGGGAGUCAGUCAGGAAGUCAGACAGACAGACUUGGAGUCAGUCAGGAAGUCAGACAGACAGACUGGGAGUCAGACAGGAAGUCAGACAGACAGACAGGAAGUCAGACAGCGGACCAGGAAGCUGUGGUAUUACAGUUUAUUUGUUGUUUUGGAAGGUAAAGUGCAUAGUUGAAGCCCUUCCUCUCUGUUAGACCUGUUCCCUGUAUAGUGGUACUACUAUAGACCCUGUUCCCUAUAUAGUGGUACUACUAUAGACCCUGUUCCCUAUAUAGUGGUACUACUAUAGACCCUAUUCCCUAUAUAGUGGUACUACUAUAGACCCUGUUCCCUAUAUAGUGGUACUAUUAUAGACCCUGUUCCCUAUAUAGUGGUACUACUAUAGACCAGAGACCUGUUCCCUAUAUAGUGGUACUACUAUAGACCAGAGCCUAUUCCCUAUAUAGUACACUACUAUAGACCAGAGCCCUAUUCCCUAUAUAGUACACUACUAUAGACCAGAGACCUGUUCCCUAUAUAGUACACUACUAUAGACCAGAGCCCUAUUCCCUAAAUAGUACACUACUAUAGACCAGAGUCCUAUUCCCUAUAUAGUACACUACUAUAGAUCAGAGCCCUAUUCCCUAUAUAGUGGUACUACUUUAGACCAGAGCCCUAUUCCCUAUAUAGUGGUACUACUAUAGACCAGAGCCCUAUUCCCUAUAUAGUGGUACUACUAUAGACCAGAGCCCUAUUCCCUAUAUAGUGGUACUACUAUAGACCCUAUUCCCUAUAUAGUGGUACUACUAUAGACCCUAUUCCCUAUAUAGUGGUACUACUUUAGACCAGAGCCCUAUUCCCUAUAUAGUGGUACUACUAUAGACCAGAGCCCUAUUCCCUAUAUAGUGGUACUACUAUAGACCAGAGCCCUAUUCCCUAUAUAGUGGUACUACUUUAGACCAGAGUCCCAUUCCCUAUAUAGUGAACUACUAGUCCUGGUCAAAGUAGUGAACUAUAUCCAGGGGCUCCCGAGCGACGCGGCGGUCUAAGGCACGUGAGGCGUCACUACAGACACCCCGGUUCGAAUCCAGGCUGUAUGGCAACCGGCCGUGAUUGGGAGUCCCACCGGGCGGCGAACAAUUGGCCCGGCGUCGUCCCGGUUUGGCCGGUGUAGACCGUUGUUGUAAAUAAUCAUGUAUUCUUAACUGAUUUACCAAGUUAAAUAAAAGUUACAUUAAAAUAAACUGUAUAUAGGGAAUAGGGUGCCUAAGUAGUGCACUAUACUGUACAUAGGGAAUAGGGUGCCUAAGUAGUGCACUAUACUGUAUAUAGGGAAUAGGGUACCUAAGUAGUGCACUAUACUGUACAUAGGGAAUAGGGUGCCUAAGUAGUGCACUAUACUGUAUAUAGGGAAUAAGGUACCUAAGUAGUGCACUAUACUGUAUAUGGGGAAUAGGGUGCCUAAGUAGUGCACUAUACUGUAUAUUGGGAAUAGGGUGCCUAAGUAGUGCACUAUACUGUAUAUAGGGAAUAGGGUGCCUAAGUAGUGCACUAUACUGUAUAUAGGGAAUAGGGUGCCUAAGUAGUGCACUAUACUGUAUAUAGGGAAUAGGGUGCUUAAGUAGUGCACCCUGUAUAUAGGGAAUAGGGUGCCUAAGUAGUGCACUAUACUGUGUAUAGGGAAUAGGGUGCCUAAGUAGUGCACCCUACUGUGUAUAGGGAAUAGGGUGCCUAAGUAGUGCAAUAUAAUGUAUAUAGGGAAUAGGGUGCCUAAGUAGUGCACCAUAAUGUAUAUAGGGAAUAGGGUGCCUAAGUAGUGCACUAUAAUGUAUAUAGGGAAUGGUGCCUAAGUAGUGCACUGUACUGUAUAUGGGGAAUAGGGUGCCUAAGUAGUGCACUAUACUGUAUAUGGGGAAUAGGGUGCCUAAGUAGUGCACUAUACUGUAUAUAGGGAAUAGGGUGCCUAAGUAGUGCACUAUACUGUAUAUAGGGAAUAGGGUGCCUAAGUAGUGCACUAUACUGUGUAUAGGGAAUAGGGUGCCUAAGUAGUGCACUAUACUGUGUAUAGGGAAUAGGGUGCC